AGAGUUUGAUCCUGGCUCAGGAUGAACGCUAGCGACAGGCUUAACACAUGCAAGUCGAGGGGCAGCGGGGUUGUAGCAAUACAACUGCCGGCGACCGGCGCACGGGUGAGUAACACGUAUGUAACCUGCCCUCUGCAGGGGGAUAAGCGGAAGAAAUUCCGUCUAAUACCGCAUGAUACAAUUUGGAGACAUCUCCGGGUUGUCAAAGGAGUGAUUCGGCAGAGGAUGGGCAUGCGGCGCAUUAGCUAGUCGGCGGGGUAACGGCCCACCGAGGCUACGAUGCGUAGGGGUUCUGAGAGGAAGGUCCCCCACACUGGUACUGAGACACGGACCAGACUCCUACGGGAGGCAGCAGUGAGGAAUAUUGGUCAAUGGGCGGAAGCCUGAACCAGCCAAGUCGCGUGAGGGAAGACGGUCCUAUGGAUUGUAAACCUCUUUUGCAGGGGAGCAAGGCGCGGUACGUGUACCGCGAAGGAGAGUACCCUGAGAAAAAGCAUCGGCUAACUCCGUGCCAGCAGCCGCGGUAAUACGGAGGAUGCGAGCGUUAUCCGGAUUUAUUGGGUUUAAAGGGUGCGCAGGCGGACUGUUAAGUCAGCGGUAAAAUGUCGGUGCUCAACACCGGCCGGCCGUUGAAACUGGCAGCCUUGAGUGAGCGAGAAGUAUGCGGAAUGCGUGGUGUAGCGGUGAAAUGCAUAGAUAUCACGCAGAACUCCGAUUGCGAAGGCAGCAUACCGGCGCUCAACUGACGCUCAGGCACGAAAGCGUGGGUAUCGAACAGGCUUAGAUACCCUGGUAGUCCACGCAGUAAACGAUGAAUGCUCACUGUCCGGGCCGUUUAAGGCCUGGGUGGUCAAGCGAAAGCGUUAAGCAUUCCACCUGGGGAGUACGCCGGCAACGGUGAAACUCAAAGGAAGUGACGGGGGCCCGCACAAGCGGAGGAACAUGUGGUUUAAUUCGAUGAUACGCGAGGAACCUUACCCGGGCUCAAACGGAAGGGGACAGUAUGAGAAAUCAUACAUUCCUUCGGGACCGCUUCCGAGGUGCUGCAUGGUUGUCGUCAGCUCGUGCCGUGAGGUGUCGGCUUAAGUGCCAUAACGAGCGCAACCCCUAUCGACAGUUGCUAGCAGGUAAAGCUGAGGACUCUGUCGAGACUGCCGGCGCAAGCUGUGAGGAAGGCGGGGAUGACGUCAAAUCAGCACGGCCCUUACGUCCGGGGCGACACACGUGUUACAAUGGCAGGUACGGCGGGAGGCCACCCGGCGACGGGGCGCAGAACCCGAAAACCUGUCUCAGUUCGGAUUGGAGUCUGCAACCCGACUCCAUGAAGCUGGAUUCGCUAGUAAUCGCGCAUCAGCCACGGCGCGGUGAAUACGUUCCCGGGCCUUGUACUCACAGGCCGUCAAG
This 1404-nucleotide ribosomal RNA is filed under the name uncultured bacterium. RNAcentral's name for it is "partial 16S ribosomal RNA". It matches the Rfam family "Bacterial small subunit ribosomal RNA". The record is from RNAcentral.